CAUCCCGGCUGCAGGCUUUGUGUCCCCAGGUCCUUGCCGGUCAUGGACUGAAACGGCAAACCACCCUCCCGGGACGCCUCUGGGUAAAUCCUCCCCUUACCUGAGCCGGGACUCUCUCACCUGGCCAUAAAGAGCUGGGUGCUCCCUGCCUGCGCCUGCGCGCUGCUUCCGCGCUGCCCCCGCGCUGCCUUCCCCCCCGCCCCCCAGCUCCGGCACCAACACCGGCCCUGGCCCUAGCUCCGGCCCCGACCUCGACCCCAAGGACCCCUGGUGCAGUGCCACGACCAAAGCCACUCCGCCCUCUGUGAGCCUCUCGGGGACCGAAGUGCCCAAGUGUCCCGGAAAGUUGCCGCGGUGUAGCACAGCUCCGGUUUCACACCCCGAAAAAGAGGGAGCACGACCUCUGCCUCAUCUCCAGAGGCUGGGCGCAGAGGGAGCGGAAGACGGGAGCAGCCCUCCAGCGACAGGAUUUUAAGGAGAGUCGCUCCGCAAAAUUAAUUUUCCACUUUGCAGUUGCACAGGAAACACUUCGCAGUUCGGAGGCAGGCGAACGUGGCAUCGUGUCCCAGGUGUGGGCCAUUUUAAGGCUUUCUAAAAGCAGGGGCGCGUUAUCCCUCACUUAGGAGGUCGUGCUGUGCCGCGUCCUGGCGUGCUAGACCCAGCUCAGCCUGCAGUAAGGAGAACGCCCCACUUAUAUAGAUCUUGGGGACAAGGAACUUUCAGAAGGGAGGUCCGGGGGGAAGCAAGAAGCGAGAGCCGGUACCCGCAGACAGUCGACGCCUGGAUUCCUGCGGGGCUCCGCUUCCCCGCCUCUCACCGCAGCGAGAUGAGGUCGGUGAAGACCGAGCCCCUUCCGCGGACACCGGCGGUUCCCGAAGCGCAGCAGCGGGGUCAAUGGGCCAUGCGAGCCACGCUUCGUCCCGCCGCUCUCAGCGCCUGCCCGCGGUGUACAGUUAGCGUCAAAUUACAGCAAUUAGCUGGGCACCGGAAUUUAAUUAUCCAGCCCUGCCCCUUCCCUACACACCCCCUACCCGGGUCUCGGGGAAGCUUCUGCUCAGGGAAGAACCGGAGCAAAGACAGCCCCAUGCGAAACGGGAGAGGGAUGGAGGAGAUACACAGAUUUCGUGGCGCCGGGACUCUGUCGCUUACUUCUUUUUCCCCUGCCCUCCACUCUGCCCUCUCCAGGAGGCGGCAAUUUUAGUCCCAUAACGACUUUUAAAAACAUUUCUUUAUCCAUUUAUUUAUUUACUGUUCAGGGGAUUCAUCCGAUGCGAAGCUGGCCUUCGGUGAUUUCGCUCCCAGUAAAUCUGAGCGCCACGCUUCUGCUAUGCUCUCGGUGGAAUCUUCCCUGCUCCUGUCGCUCCCCAUGCAGGGUUAAAUUUCCCCCUUCAGGACCAAGCUCUACCCCGUGGAACCUGGCAGACAGGCGGCCUCAGCACCUCGCCUGCGGACCGGGAGCCGUGGAUUUGGGGCUACGGACCAGCCUUGGGCUCGCCCCUACGCUUUUUUGGGUGGUUUUUGGGUUUGGUUUGUUUUUUAGCCUAAGGGCGAAGGGCAUGGGCUGGGCGUGCUGUAGAGCCCCCGGGAUUGUGAGGUGCUCCUUUUUUCCUCCCUAGGGCGUUUGGUAACCGCACUUUGGGGGCUAAUUCGGCUUCCCUGGCCCGGCCGUUUAGAAGACUCGUUCUGUCGGCAGCCUUCCGGGCAAAACCGGCACUUGAAGGUGGCUAAAGCCACCACACCCUAGGUUACUGCCACCCCUGAGGUGCCAGCUCUGGGUGUCUUCCUCGUCCUGCCUGCCCUGCCGCCUGUCUCCUCCGCGUGAGAAGGGAAGAUGAGGCUGAGGAAACUUGUGUCCCCAGACAAAACAGUCUCUUUUAAAGCAAAGGCACACGCAGCCUUUUUUCCCCCCACUUCCUCCUCCCUCUUUCUCACACCGCCUGGUUGACAGUUCGGCAUUGAUUUUGGCAGGUGGAUCGGAGAGAGUCACCGAGCAGCUCCAUCCCCUCUGAUUUGUGAUGGACCCGCCGGGUACCUCCCCGUAUGUCACAGCGCGGGAAGCAGACGGGACAAAGCCCUUGCCUGCUCCCCUUCUCCUCCACAGCAGCAGCCCUUUGGCUAAACCCCUUCACGAAUUUCUUCCCAGCUCUUCGGGUGCUUUCCCCUGCCGUGCGUCCGUUUUCCCCAGCCAGCCCGAGUUACUGCCAGGUGCCUGUAUCCCGUGAGCUGGGAAUAUCCGCACCUGCCCGGCCCCCAGCUGCCAUCCAGACUCUUCUCUCUUCUUGCUGCGCAAGGGCGGCGGGUAAGCCCGGCUCCCGGAGAGUUCAGGGUUGGUUAUUCCUCCCG
Long non-coding RNA from Pogoniulus pusillus (Red-fronted tinkerbird), 2343 nucleotides. RefSeq lists it as uncharacterized. The transcript is spliced from 2 exons. NCBI's taxonomy places the organism in Eukaryota, Metazoa, Chordata, Aves, Piciformes, Lybiidae. The record is from RefSeq and is a predicted model, not a curated record.